RNAcentral lists this ribosomal RNA (277 nucleotides) under uncultured bacterium. RNAcentral describes it as "partial 16S ribosomal RNA". It matches the Rfam family "Bacterial small subunit ribosomal RNA", at positions 29 to 297 of the family's 1533-position model. The record is from RNAcentral.
AGCGAACGCUGGCGGCGUGCUUAACACAUGCAAGUCGAGUGCGCGACAUUUGUAGCAAUACAAAUGUUGGCGCACGGCGCACGGGUGCGUAACACGUGGGUAAUCUGCCCUCCGAUGGGGAAUAACCCCGCGAAAGCGGGGCUAAUUCCGCAUAACAUUCCUAUGACCUCGGUUGUGGGAUUCAAAGGCGUAAGUCGUCGGAGGUGGAGCCCGCGCACGAUUAGCUAGUUGGUAGGGUAACGGCCUACCAAGGCUAUGAUCGUUAGCUGGUCUGAGA